GCGAGGAUGAAAGGGUCUGAAGUUGAGCAGGCGAUGGUGGAGGUGUCCCAGAGAGGAAGACUGGAGGUGGGGAGUCUGAGCCUGCAGGACGGGGAGGGGCGCAGGCAUGGUCGGCAGGCUGCAGGGAGGGGUGCAGGCGUGGUCGGCAGGAAACUACCUGAAGCCCCGGGAACUGAUGCAGCCAAUCAAGAUCCGUCGAAAGAAGCGAGGGCAGAGCGAGGGGUAGGAGAUCACUGGUGUGGGGAGAGGGGUGGAGCCUCGCUGCAGGGCAGAAGAGGAGGGAGGGGCCAACAGAAUGCAUGGCAGCAGCUUACCCCGUCCUCUGCCUCAGGAUGGCUUCCCAGUGAUAAAGUGGCAGAGAGGUCAGGUCAAACCCAUCCCCUUCCAUUUCCUACCCAUGUAAUUCUACUAGGCUCUGACCUACAAACCAUCACCAUUCAACCCCGCCCCACCUCCAUCCCCACCUCGACCCCCCUUUCCUCACGUCACGGCCCCUUUCCUGGCCCCCACCCAGGCCUUCCUACACCCUGCCCCUUUCCCCUGUGGUGCCCCCCCACACACACCUCUAAUCCUGGGCAGAGUAACACACAACUUGCCCAGGUAUACACGCCUCAACCAGAACACAGCAACAAACCUCUAACCCUGGGCAGAGUAACACACACCUGGCCCAGGUAUACACACCUCAACCAGAACACAGCAACAAACCUCUAACCCUGGGCAGAGUAACACACACCUGGCCCAGGUAUACACACCUCAACCAGAACACAGCAACAAACCUCUAACCCUGGGCAGAGUAACACACCUGGCCCAGGUAUACACGCCUCAACCAGAACACAGCAACAAACCUCUAACCCUGGGCAGAGUAACACACACCUGGCCCAGGUAUACACACCUCAACCAGAACACAGCAACAAACCUCUAACCCUGGGCAGAGUAACACACACCUGGCCCAGGUAUACACGCCUCAACCAGAACACAGCAACACACCUCUAACCCUUAGACUGGAGAAGAAAGACUAAGGCGUUACCAGGGGUGGAGUCUCGAAGGGCAACGGCCCAAUCAGACCAAAGCCCGGCCAGCAGCAGAGUCUGACACUACCCAGAAAUCCCCACCCCUACCCAAUCCCCCAAUCAGAACCCCCGAGAAGCUCAGACGUGAGAGUGCUAAGCCAAUCAGACAGAGCGAGAAGAAUGUGAGGGGACUGUCUGGGGCAGUGGCUAUUGUGAAGAGAGAGAGAGGCAGACCGAAGGUUACUAGCUCUCCAGCUACACCUGUACAGACCAGCCUUGCAGAACAGAUCAGCCUAGAGGGAGAAACAAGGAGGAGGAAGAAAAAGAGGAGAGUAGAAGCCUCAGCUGGGGUGGGAGAAAGGACCAGAGCCAGGGAGGACAAGCAAGAAACAGAGCCAGCGAGGACAAGCGAGAAACAGAGCCAGCGAGGACAAGCGAGAAACAGAGCCAGCGAGGACAAGCGAGAAACAGAGCCAGCGAGGACAAGCGAGAAACAGAGCCAGCGAGGACAAGCGAGAAACAGAGCCAGCGAGGACAAGCGAGAAACAGAGCCAGCGAGGACAAGCGAGAAACAGAGCCAGCGAGGACAAGCGAGAAACAGAGCCAGCAAGGAGGAGAGUGGAGGAGGAGAUGACGAAGGGAGGGGAGGAGAGAGAGCCAGCGAGGACAAGUCCAGAAGUAGAGCUAGUCCCGCCGGCCCAUACGCUCACAGGUCCAGAACCCCCAGCCUGUUGAGUAGGUACACCCCGAGGACAGAGAGGAGUCUGGGAAGGAAGUGACCACAGAGGAGGAGGAUGUCGAUGUCACUCAGGUAACUGCCUCCUCAACCUUCCAGAAAAACAGGGUGGUCCUGCAGACACAGCUGAGAGAGAGAUGGAGAGGGGGAACGAGAGGGACAAGGAGAGGAAACAGGAUGGACCGAGCUCAAACCACGAAGGACCGAUCAUACAGAAGAGAGGGAGAAAUGUAUGUAUGGAUGAAGAGAUGGAGAAAAGGGAAGAAGAAAUGGAUGUGGAGGACAUCGGAGCGAUUGAAGAGCAUCUAGAAGAAUGGAUGACAGACAGCGCAGAUAAACAGACAACAGAACUCCACAACCCAGCAAUCCAAAUAGCAGAGUGGAAGGUCCCAGUUCAGAUGCAUUCUGGGAUAGUAAAGCCUCCAGUCUCCCAUCCUUUGAUGUCCACAACAGGUGGACAUCGAAGGGUCAACAGGAAGCUGGGAGCAAGAGGAAGUGGAUGUGUUUGGGGGCUUUAGCGGAGCUUGGUUCAGAGGAAGAUAUCAAUGUCAUUGGAGAAGAGUUGGACCCACGCCCCUUCUAUCGGAUCUGUCAUCUCUGCUCUGACUGAGGGGACUGCAGACACACGGUAGCCUACAUGAUCAAGACUGAUCAGUCAGAUUAUCACACUCAACUCUAAUCAGAGUUUUUUUUUUUUUUUUUUUUUACUUCUACAGUAUUAACAUGCCCGUCCUAUCCCUGCUUCCCUACAGAGUGACCAACCUGCUUCUCCCUCCCUGCUAGGUGACAGGAGGUAUGGACAAAUCUCCAAUUACAAACUGAGAGGGCUACCACAUAGACAGCCAUUGCAAAACAACGAGGAAUGUACAGCUUUCUGCUUGAUGGAGAAGCAGGAAUGUUUACAUAAAAGAGGAUUUGGGUGUUUGUGAAAGUUGGGUGAUUGAGUUCAUCCAAUUUACCAAUUGUUAAACAAAAGAGGACGAAUGGAGGUAAAAAAAAUGUUUUUUAAAUAAGAGGAAGUAUUUGAUACGUUGCUGUACCUAUUUCUACCUCACCCAGCUUAUAGGGCUCUGUGCAUGAGUUCUAGUUUUCAGCACAUAGAUUGUCAGUUUUGAAUGUGUGUGUCAGUUCUGUUUCUUUGUCUACACCUCACUGCCCAGACCUUUUAACACAUCAUUGUGUUUAGGUUUUUAAUGACCCGGGUAGAAAAACACAAGCUUUGCUAGCCUCUUGUAGAGAGGAGUUUGGGUUCAUAUAGCAAAUGUUGUUUUUUUGGUUAGUUGCCACCAAAUCGGGUUUUACACGGCUGUUAGUUUAGUUUCGCAGGAAUUGAGGGCUCAGGUUGGUUGAGUGUCAAUCAUCACAGGCCUACCAUCAUCCGAUUCUGCUUCUGACUGUUCUAGAAUGAAAUCACUUCGCCUCAUGGGUCUUGUUGUCAUCAUUGUUCUUGCUGUUGCUUCUCAUUAUUACUGUUCUCCCCAGCAGUUUGACUGUUUUCAGUUUUAUAACCCGAUUACGAGAUUAAAGAUGUUCUUAAUA
Oncorhynchus tshawytscha (Chinook salmon) is the source of this 3285-nucleotide long non-coding RNA. The record is from Ensembl. Lineage: Eukaryota; Metazoa; Chordata; Actinopteri; Salmoniformes; Salmonidae.